This 497-nucleotide ribosomal RNA is filed under the name uncultured bacterium. Its description in RNAcentral is "partial 16S ribosomal RNA". It matches the Rfam family "Bacterial small subunit ribosomal RNA", at positions 28 to 507 of the family's 1533-position model. The record is from RNAcentral.
GAUGAACGCUGGCGGCGUGCCUAAUACAUGCAAGUCGAGCGAACAGACGAGGAGCUUGCUCCUCUGACGUUAGCGGCGGACGGGUGAGUAACACGUGGAUAACCUACCUAUAUUACUGGGAUAACUUCGGGAAACCGGAGCUAAUACCGGAUAAUAUAUUGAACCGCAUGGUUCAAUAGUUAAAUACGGUUUUUCUGUCACUUAUAGAUGGAUCCGCGCCGCAUUAGCUAGUUGGUAAGGUAACGGCUUACCAAGGCAACGAUGCGUAGCCGACCUGAGAGGGUGAUCGGCCACACUGGAACUGAGACACGGUCCAGACUCCUACGGGAGGCAGCAGUAGGGAAUCUUCCGCAAUGGGCGAAAGCUUGACGGAGCAACGCCGCGUGAGUGAUGAAGGUCUUCGGAUCGUAAAACUCUGUUAUUAGGGAAGAACAAAUGUGUAAGUAACUAUGCACGUCUUGACGGUACCUAAUCAGAAAGCCACGGCUAACUACGUG